RNAcentral lists this transfer RNA (60 nucleotides) under Pseudoniphargus sp. 1-Murcia. RNAcentral's name for it is "tRNA-Asp". The record is from RNAcentral. Lineage: Eukaryota; Metazoa; Arthropoda; Malacostraca; Amphipoda; Allocrangonyctidae.
AGAAAAUUAGUUAAAAAAUAAUAUUAAUUUGUCAAAUUAAAGUUACCUUAGUAUUUUCUA